GUGAUGUUAGCUCAACUGGUUAGAGCAUCAGGUUGUGGACCUGAAGGUUGCCGGUUCAAGUCCGGUACAUCACCCA
RNAcentral lists this transfer RNA (76 nucleotides) under Candidatus Levybacteria bacterium RIFCSPHIGHO2_01_FULL_40_58. Its description in RNAcentral is "tRNA-His". It matches the Rfam family "tRNA". From Rfam's summary of the family: Transfer RNA (tRNA) molecules are approximately 80 nucleotides in length. The record is from RNAcentral. RNAcentral also lists the same sequence under 5 other names. Lineage: Bacteria; Candidatus Levyibacteriota.